This 74-nucleotide transfer RNA is filed under the name Caulobacter hibisci. RNAcentral describes it as "tRNA-Ser". The record is from RNAcentral. Lineage: Bacteria; Pseudomonadati; Pseudomonadota; Alphaproteobacteria; Caulobacterales; Caulobacteraceae.
GCGUAUGUGAGCGGAUCUUCGAUGGCAGACUACGAAUCUGAGGGUCGGACGUUCGAAUCGUUCCGGGCGCGCCA